Hordeum vulgare subsp. vulgare (domesticated barley) is the source of this 135-nucleotide non-coding RNA. Lineage: Eukaryota; Viridiplantae; Streptophyta; Magnoliopsida; Poales; Poaceae. The record is from Rfam.
CAUGUACUUCUUCCGUCUAAAAAUUCUUGUCUUACGUUUGUCUAAAAUUAAUGUAUCUAAAUACUAAAACAUGACUAGAUACACUCAUAUCUAUACAAAUCAAAGACAAGAAUUUUGGGACGAAGGGAGUAUUAG